UACGGGGGGGGCAAGCGUUGUUCGGAUUUACUGGGCGUAAAGGGCUCGUAGGCGGCCAACUAAGUCAGACGUGAAAUCCCUCGGCUUAACCGGGGAACUGCGUCUGAUACUGGAUGGCUUGAAUCCGGGAGAGGGAUGCGGAAUUCCAGGUGUAGCGGUGAAAUGCGUAGAUAUCUGGAGGAACACCGGUGGCGAAGGCGGCAUCCUGGACCGGCAUUGACGCUGAGGAGCGAAAGCCAGGGGAGCAAACGGG
Molecule: ribosomal RNA, 253 nt
Filed under: uncultured bacterium
Lineage: Bacteria
Description: partial 16S ribosomal RNA
Rfam family: Bacterial small subunit ribosomal RNA
Source: RNAcentral